Molecule: long non-coding RNA, 379 nt
Organism: Oncorhynchus keta (chum salmon)
Lineage: Eukaryota; Metazoa; Chordata; Actinopteri; Salmoniformes; Salmonidae
Exons: 4
Source: RefSeq, a predicted model, not a curated record
GUUAUUCCUUGUAACCAAUAUCGGGUGAAGGCGUGUUUGCAGAGUGGUUUAUGUAGCUAAAUAUCUACUCUACUGGUGCCACAUUUUGACUGUAGGGUUUCCGCAAAUGUAAUUAAAAGUUGGGUCUAUUCGUCUGUGGCAAAGAUACUGUAUUUAUAUCUCCCCUGGUGUUAGCUAGAUACUGGCUAGCUAGGUCUUCAUCUGUCUGGUGUUAGCUAGAUACUGGCUAGCUAGGUCUUCAUCUGUCUGGUGUUAGCUAGUUACUGGCUAGCUAGGUCUUCAGCUGUCUGGUGUUAGCUAGUUACUGGCUAGCUAGGUCUUCACCUGUCUGGUGUUAGCUAGUUACUGGCUAGCUAGGUCUUCAUCUGUCUGGUGUUAG